Molecule: non-coding RNA, 3777 nt
Organism: Equus caballus (horse)
Lineage: Eukaryota; Metazoa; Chordata; Mammalia; Perissodactyla; Equidae
Source: RefSeq, a predicted model, not a curated record
GCUCACAGACCCCGCGCGAAAUGCUCGCUCCAGGCAGCUCUCAGCUUCAGCUUUAGGUCACACUGCAGUGCUUUCCAUGAUGUCGGAACUUUGAGAAGCGAGCUUUUCAGCAGUUGCUAUGAUAAAAAAAAAAAAAAAGAAAAGAAAAAGGAAUUGCCACUGGUAAAUCCAGGUAGACCAGAAAAGUGGGAAGAGGUAUCCGGUCUGAUCCCAGGGUUCGAGAUGUUGUACAGCAACCAACAGGCGCCUACAGCCCACCAUUCAUUGGUGGGGGUUGUUUAAGCAUGAAGGAGAAGUGUACUCUUUCCAUUUAUACCGACUGGUUUUUCAAACAGCUAUAUGGUCGUUAGGACAUAAAUAGUUAAUAAGCUGUUUGGACCUAACUACUUACAAAGAGGACUGUUAGGAAGUUCUCUCAGCUGAGGGGUGCUGUGAAAAAUCGCUGAGACAACGAAGGAGCCGUGAAGAAAAAGCUAGGAAAUCUCUGAGUGCGUUAUCAGCUCUCAGGGAACAACCUCCCCGGUUUGGCGCUUGGCCCGGGAGGGGCGUGGGGCGGGAGGCGGUCCCCAGGAUGCCCGCUUGCUCUUCCUGCUGUCGAUGCCUCACCCACUUAUAUGGGGCCUGUAGUUAGCCAUUCACGGAAGAGGCCUGCUCAGGAAACAGAUGUGCACGCUGCAGAGGAAACCCACAAUCACCGCCUACGUAAAUCCACCGGGCCUUCAUUCAUAAAAACCAGCCAGCCAAGGGCCGCCGAACAGAAGGAAAACACCAGCGUGGAAGGACAGAACAGGGUGAAGAAAAAAUACAUCCACAUCCAGAUGUGCCCUGAGAAAAUUUAAGAACACCAAAAAUAAAAGGAAAAUUCUAAAAGCUCCCACAACGGAAAAAUAGAAGAGGACAAUGUGAUACAAAUGGGCCAGUGGCAGCUCGAGGAAGCUGAGAAACUCACAAAGAAUUCCAAAAGAAGCCAGAAAACCUUAGCGUUGGACCGCUCUGCUGCAGAUGCAAGAUUCAAAUACAGAUCUGGAUUUGCAGAGCCGAUUACUAUGAACAUGCUGACCACUAAUGUGUGCGGGCUUCACAUAAUCCCCUGAGACGGCUGAGCCCUCCAUCCCAAUGAUGCGUCCUAAUGGCUUCCUGUUCUUCACAGCUCAAGUGUGUGCCUGACCAACAACUGGCCUCUGUAUCCUCAGGAGCUCUCACCGAAGGCACCAGCCACUCCGGUGCUCACUGGGCCUCACUCUCCCUGGCCAUGACUUCUCUUAGGUUCCAGGUGCAGGCAGCCUUCGACACAGAGAUGCCCUUGGAAUGUUCUAGCUACCUUCCACUCCCUCCACAGAUUCACAGGAAUAUCGUGAUGCUUUCCGUGCCAUUGGCCACCAGGAUGCUAAACUUGGGCCUGUGGUCUAUCUCCCUGUGCCCUGUAAGUCACUGUCACUGUAACCUGGGUGCUGGAGCAGGGGCAGCCUACAACCACAUCUGCUCUCAAAGUCCUCAGUGAGAAGCAUGGUCAAAGCCCUUUACUCUGAACAGAUUACCCUGGAUCUUUCUGGAUUUUUGCAUGGGACUCCCACCCCCACCCCCACCCCCACCCUGCCCGUCAGCCUUGAAGAGGAGGCCCCCGGUUGGGAGUGGACAUGCACCCUGAGCAUCAGCUACCUUCACCUUACUUUGUCUGCCUUCUCGGCCUACCAUUGAUUGGGACCAGACAGCCCGUACCCCUUUCUCUGUUUCAUCAGCACCUUCCUUAUACGAAACCCCAUGGUCAAAUCGACUUUGCCUAGUUUUGAAUUUGUCAAAAAGGGAGAUCCCAAACUUGGGAGAUCUUUUUCUCUCAGCAUAAAGUUUAGCCUCCAGGCCCUGUGUAUUUCUCAAAUGUCCUAGUAAGUGUGCCAGAAGCUACCUACCCUUAUGUGACUGAAUCAACCUAUUCUUUGCAUUAUCGCUGGUCACCGUCCUCCCCCCAGGGCAGGAGGCUGCCCAGGCUGAGAAGUGAGAAAGCCGCACACCAGGAAAUGCAAAGCAUAAAAUUCUGUCAGCGUACCUUGAAACUAUUUACCUUAUUUUGUAACAAUUGAUGAAGCGCUGCAACAUCAUAAAUCAGCGUAAUUUCCUAACCUGAGGAGUGGGAAGAAGUUUCCUUAAGGAAGUGAUGUUUGGGGUGAGCUUUGAAGGGUCCAUGGGAAUCACGUGGCCCAAAGGAAGUGAAGAGUGUUUCUAGCAAAGGGAACGGCAUUUGCAAAGAGCCAGAGGCCGCAGGAACAUGGUGUGCUCAAGCAAGGAAGAAAAUCCGUGUGGCUGGAGAAUAGGGAAGGAAAACAAGAAGCGUGAGACACGAGAUGCAACAAGGCCAAGGAGAAACACGCCACACAACAGGCAGCCCCAGCUCUGGGCGGGGCAGGGACCAGGCCUCCACGCUCAGGUGGGAAUGGAGAGGGGCGAGAGGGGAGUGAGCAGACAGUGGGGCAGCUCUGACCGCAGCCCUGGCACAGAGCACAUCAAAGGCCAAAAUCUGAGCCCUGCUGGGGUUUGUUCUACGACCUUUAGUGGAUCCACUAAUCGUCCCCAGACUGAAGAAGUCCAGAACCGUGGAUCUAGCCUGAGGACUCCCUGCCCUCAGCCCUAUUCUUCUACAUGACACCCUCCCAGAGAGGGUAUCAAACUCUCCCAGGCAUGCUCAGAACCAAAGCAAGCAAAAUGAGGGUCAUGGUCCACAUGUAAUUAUUCUCCUUUGUCCUCCGUACUGUUGCCCCCAGCACUGGCACCAGUUGCACUGUUUCUGAAAUGCAGUAGAGAAAAUGUCCUCAGACACUUUGGAGAACUCUAGAUUAUCUUGGAAGAACAGAGCACAAGAUAGAAUCUCCACUCCCACCCUUUCCUGGCCUGGUGUCUUGAAGAUGCCCCUCAAAGUAGGUGGGCCUGUGGAAGGGAUGCAGAAGUCAUGCAGGUGACCUCAGCCCCAAAGUUUUCGGGAUGGCCUGAUUUCCCUGUCCAUGGAGAAAGCGUGGGCGGGGGAGGAAACUGGACUCAUUUCACCUUACUUACUCUUAUCCUAGAACUGUGAACUAGAGACAGAUCACAGCCUGUGACUUAUUUUCCCACAUUUGUGAGCGUGCAUUUCUGAUCAUCAGAGAAGUUCAGUGCACUGAAAACCUUCCCUAGACUCCACUGCACAUCUGUAGUGAGGCAGGCGCACGGCCCCCGCAAAGCACGGCGCGGCUCACCCUCACCCUGGGAGAAAGAUCCUAGCUUGGCGUGUGGACCAGGAUUUCCCCAGAGAAAAAGUCAGUAUCCAUAUGACGUAAAGUUCCUUUUCUGAAAUUUAAUCAAAGAGUACCAGCAGAAAAAAAAUCACAAUUAAAAAUACAUAAAAUUCAAGUCAUACUGUUGCCUCCGUUUUAAAUAAAACAACACCACACACAUUUUUUAUACAUAAAUUUUUAUUUCAAAACAUUCGAUCCCCAGAAAGUCUUUCCCAGUAAGUGAUUUUUUAGCAAAGCAGGGCAGUCAUCAAUAGGAUAUUAGUUCUGGGGUGAAGUUUUCCACAAGGUGCCCCUGUAUUGUUGAUGAUGUUUUAAUCAGCUAUCCUUGAAAUGGGAUGAACACAAAAUCAAGUCGUGUACUGAACCUUGAAGGUUAUUAUACAGCAAAAUGAAUUUGAAGCCUCAGAAAACACCUAAGAACUAAGAAUGUGUUUUAAUGUCCAUGAAAAAAAUACAAUAUAGAGGGUGGGUCUAAAGAAUGAUUAUUUAAAGCCAGAGGUAGACGUUCUGCAAU